Molecule: ribosomal RNA, 292 nt
Filed under: uncultured bacterium
Lineage: Bacteria
Description: partial 16S ribosomal RNA
Rfam family: Bacterial small subunit ribosomal RNA
Source: RNAcentral
UGUGUCCUACGGGGGGCAGCAGUGGGGAAUAUUGCACAAUGGGGGAAACCCUGAUGCAGCGACGCCGCGUGAAGGAAGAAGUAUUUCGGUAUGUAAACUUCUAUCAGCAGGGAAGAAAAUGACGGUACCUGACUAAGAAGCCCCGGCUAACUACGUGCCAGCAGCCGCGGUAAUACGUAGGGGGCCAGCGUUAUCUGGAUUUACUGGGUGUAAAGGGAGCGUAGGCGGUGCAGCAAGUCAGAAGUGAAAGCCCGGGGCUCAACUCCGGGACUGCUUUUGAAACUGUUGAACU